RNAcentral lists this ribosomal RNA (332 nucleotides) under uncultured Glomeromycotina. Its description in RNAcentral is "partial large subunit ribosomal RNA". The record is from RNAcentral. Lineage: Eukaryota; Fungi; Glomeromycota.
CNGCCUUUCNGGNGNGAUUCUGUGGANGUGUGAGGAGCUNAACGCCUUCAUGCCUGGNUUUUCCUGGNCCUUGGGUGUACUUGCCCGUGUGGUUGGUUAACAUCAAUUUUGGUUGUCAUAAAAUGNCUGGAGGAAUGUAGCUUCGAUCUNGUAUUGAAGUGUUAUAGCCUUCGGUAGAUGUGAUGAUCGAGAUUGAGGAUUGCAACGGAUACCCUUCGGGGCUACCUGUCUGAUCUCUGAUCGUUGCUCUGGUGCCGAAAGCNUGCUUACGGUUAUCAAAGUCGAUGGUCAAUAGGUUAGAACGGGUUAAAUUCGUUAAGGAUGUUGACGUA